CAGAAUGUGGAGGUGACAUUUCUGGAACGUAUGGGUUAAUUGCCUCGCCUGGCUACCCUGGGAACUAUCCACCGAAUCGAGACUGCUAUUGGACAAUCAACACUGAUCCGGGACUUUCCAUCACUUUUUCCUUUGGAACAUUAUACCUCGAAAAUCACAACACCUGUGAAAAUGAUUACCUGGAGGUAAAUAUCACACAUUCAUAUGGCUAAGUUGAUUUUUUUUAAGUUAGUACAUUUUCUGAUAUAACAAAUAUAAUGAAGUUGAUAUAAACAUUAAUGGUGAUCUAAAGAUCUUAUAUUCAAAUGGAAUUAAACUGGUUUGAUAUUUUUAAGUGAAAUUAUGGAAUGGAGAGAUCAGGAAACAUUUGUGGAAAUGGGGGAGUAAUGGGGAGAGUGACAAAGAGAGGCAAUGAGAAGUACUGAAUGAGUGACUGACUUAUACAGGGUAAAUGAAGCUCUUGAAAGGAAUGCGUUUCUCCAAAAAUAAGGAGAAAGGAUUUAAUAUGAGAAAAGGUGGAUAAAAACACAGAAUUAAGAGGGAGUUGAGAAUGGCUAGGAAUAGAGUUUAUGUAAAUAUAUAUAUAAAAAGAACUACUUUUGUGGUUUGAUUAUUAGUGAAAAUAUUUGUCUGUCUGUUUGUCAUCUGUCAAAUCCACUAUUUUUACAUAUUUUUUUAUGACUUGAUGAAAAAAAUACAUUUAAUUUUACAUCAGUAAAAUAAUGUAAAUUUUAUUUAGAGACUCAUAACAUCAUAGAACUUUGUAACAACAAAAAUAGCAAUAUAUAAGUUAUCAGAAGAGGGCGGUGGAAAUAAAAAUCCAAGCUCUCUGAUAAAUGUCAAUACACUACAACUAAAAGACUGUGUACCAAUUAUUUGCGACACAUUUUGUUAGGAUACAUCAUAUUCUUUCUACUGUUAUUUAUUUAGACAUAUCAAUGAUCAAUAUUUUAAUAAGAACUUAAUAAAAUGUGCUGUUUGACUUUUUUUUUUUUUGCUAACGCACUGUUUUAGAUUAGAGAUGGCCUGCUUCCCCAAGAUACAGUCCUUAAAAAAUACUGUACUACUCAGUCACCUGUUCCACUC
This is a non-coding RNA of Pelobates cultripes (western spadefoot toad), 1086 nucleotides long. Lineage: Eukaryota; Metazoa; Chordata; Amphibia; Anura; Pelobatidae. The record is from the annotation of a GenBank genome assembly.